This 263-nucleotide ribosomal RNA is filed under the name uncultured archaeon. RNAcentral describes it as "partial 16S ribosomal RNA". It matches the Rfam family "Archaeal small subunit ribosomal RNA", at positions 717 to 982 of the family's 1478-position model. The record is from RNAcentral.
ACACGACUACAUUAGAUACCCGGGUAGUCCUAGGCGUAAAUGAUGCGAGUUAAGUGUGGGGGCAUCUACGAGAUGGCCCUGUGCUGUAGGGUAGCCGUUAAACUCGCUGCCUGGGAGUACGGUCGCAAGGCUGAAACUUAAAGGAAUUGGCGGGGAGCACCACAACAGGUGGAGCCUGCGGUUUAAUUGGAUUCAACGCCGGACAUCUCACCGGAUAAGACAGCUGAAUGAUUGUCAAUCUGAAGGUUUUACAUGACUAGCUG